Molecule: ribosomal RNA, 862 nt
Filed under: uncultured archaeon
Lineage: Archaea
Description: bacterial SSU rRNA
Rfam family: Archaeal small subunit ribosomal RNA
Source: RNAcentral
UGCGAGUCAACAUAGCAAUAUGUGGCAUACGGCUCAGUAACACGUAGUCAACAUGCCCAGGGGACGUGGAUAACCUCGGGAAACUGAGGAUAAACCGCGAUAGGUCAUUACUUCUGGAAUGGGUAAUGACUUAAAUCUAUAUGGCCCCUGGAUUGGACUGCGGCCGAUCAGGCUGUUGGUGAGGUAAUGGCCCACCAAACCUGUAACCGGUACGGGCUCUGAGAGGAGGAGCCCGGAGAUGGGCACUGAGACAAGGGCCCAGGCCCUAUGGGGCGCAGCAGGCGCGAAACCUCUGCAAUAGGCGAAAGCUUGACAGGGUUACUCUGAGUGAUUUCCGUUAAGGAGAUCUUUUGGCACCUCUAAAAAUGGUGCAGAAUAAGGGGUGGGCAAGUCUGGUGUCAACCGCCGCGGUAAUACCAGCACCCCGAGUGGUCGGGACGUUUAUUGGGCCUAAAGCAUCCGUAGCCGGUUCUACAAGUCUUCCGUUAAAUCCACCUGCUUAACAGAUGGGCUGCGGAAGAUACUAUAGAGCUAGGAGGCGGGAGAGGCAAGCGGUACUCGAUGGGUAGGGGUAAAAUCCGUUGAUCCAUUGAAGACCACCAGUGGCGAAGGCGGCUUGCCAGAACGCGCUCGACGGUGAGGGAUGAAAGCUGGGGGAGCAAACCGGAUUAGAUACCCGGGUAGUCCCAGCUGUAAACGAUGCAGACUCGGUGAUGAGUUGGCUUAUUGCUAACUCAGUGCCGCAGGGAAGCCGUUAAGUUUGCCGCCUGGGGAGUACGGUCGCAAGACUGAAACUUAAAGGAAUUGGCGGGGGAGCACCACAAGGGGUGAAGCCUGCGGUUCAAUUGGAUUCAACGCCGGG